This is an RNA transcript of Musca domestica (house fly), 2759 nucleotides long. It is a transcript of the gene named tyrosine-protein kinase transmembrane receptor Ror-like, with no coding region annotated. The record is from RefSeq and is a predicted model, not a curated record. The transcript is spliced from 5 exons. Lineage: Eukaryota; Metazoa; Arthropoda; Insecta; Diptera; Muscidae.
ACAACUCAUAUUUAACACUUAUUGCAAGCCAGCAAAUAGAUAAUUUGGGUUGUAUCGGUAAACAAGACUAGGGUUUGAAAUAUUCAAUAUGUGGGCUUGUACUAUUGCCAUAGUUUGGAUGUUGUUAUUAAUAGACAUUUGGACCUUUAUGAGAGUAAUUUGCUCUGGAAUUUCAACUAAGGAAGAGAUUUCUGUUGGCAUUUGCCAACUAUACAAUGGAACGACAUGCAGUAAAUAUUUGUCGAAUAAAAGCGUUUUUAUACCUCCAAACUUUACUCUGGAGGAUUUUGAAGAAAGAUUGCGUGCAGCGUAUGGAGUUAUAAAGGAAUCGAAUUUAGUAUUAAGAAAGUGCAAAUAGAAAAAAAUGUGGCAGUGAAAUGGACUCAUGAGGCUGUAGAACAUCUAACUGUAUACGUGCAACAACAUCCCUGUUUAUAUAACUGUCGUUCCCCUGAGUAUUUGGACAGGGUUAAAAAGGCCCAAGUAUGGUCAAAAGUUGGGGACGGAUUGUUAAAAUAUGAUGGUUCCCUACAUGUAAAGGAGGCCCAGCGAAAAUGGAGGAAUUUAAGAGUGCAAUUUAUGCAGGACCAAAGGCUUCUCGCAAACUCAAGGAAAAGUGGCGCAGGAAAUGGCUAUCUCUAUUCACCUAAGCUAUGGUGCUAUGAUCAUUUAUGCCUCUUAAAAACGCAUAACAUUGAGGAAAGUUUUCGCUAAAGGCGUCAUGAUAUAUGUAUAUAAUUAUUAUGUACUUACAUUUUCAGAACACAGUUCCGGAACACAUUGUAAAGGAUGUGAGCAAGGGUCAUGUAGAAGAUGUGUGCGAGGAUCAUGCGAAAGAUGUAAACGAGGAUUAUAAAUAUACCCAAGAACUACCAAAGAAGAAGCUUAAAGUAAAUCUUGUAUCCUUCAGAAGCUUUGCUUUUCCCUUUGUAAAAGAUCGGUUGACUGAUACUUUUUGUUUACUUAUUAUUACGUAGGAAGUAAAUAACAGCUCUUUCUUUUCAGAACACAAUGAAUAAUUUUAGAAAUGGCCUAAAUGUACUUAGGAAAGUUUUAUCUGAAAAGAAGAAAUUAAAGUUUGCAUGGUUGGGCAAUUUUGUUGCUGGGCAAAUGGAGGAAAUUAGUGUGGAACAUCAAAACGAAGCUGGAUGGCAAGUUCAGUGCCUUAUGAGGGAACUUAUAAGCAAACCACAAAAUAUCAGUCCACAAUCACUAAAAGACGUUUUGGAACUAUUAUUUAUUUAUGGAGGGGGUGUUCGUUGAAGGUAACGCUGAUAUAAGGACAAGCGGUUAUAGAAAAAAAUUUAAUUCUGCAAGAAUCUAUUGGUUAUCGUUGUAAAAUUCUGGCAGCUCAGGAACAGACCAUAUGCCGGGUGAGACGGCUGUCACUCGCCCGACAGCUGUUAAAAUUGUUCCAGUUACAGCACAUUAUAUUGUUCACAAGCGUACAAAAGCAUUUUGGUGAGCAUUUUCCAGAAAAAAAGUUAUUCGUGAUGGAAUUCUUUAUAUUUGGCUGAAAAACCACAAGUUCAUAUCGUUAGAGCACUCCAGCAUUUAAAUGUGAAUAAAUCUUUUGUGUCUCGUACCAUCGCUCGUUACCUUGAUACUUGUAGCGUAGCCCGACGUCAAGGAAGUGGACGUAAGAAAACAGCAACAUCAGCAGAAAUGGUUCGAAAAGUAAAGAAGCGACUUGAAACCCGCGAAGCAGACUAAAGAGCUAAAGAGGUGCUUCGCUUGGCCAAACGUGGUGGACUGCCGAAUUUGGUUUUCUCCGAUGAGAAAACAUUCAUUGUCCCGCAGUUUGUAAAAAACGAAAUUAUCGUGUUUACUUGCCAAUGAGGUCAGCCGAAAAUAUGCACCUUCGGUUGGCCACCAGAACUCAAGCGCCGUCCAUGGUGAUGGUGUGGGCCGCCAUAACAGCCGAUAGUACAUCUCCGCUUGUAUUAAUCGACCGUGGCAUCAGAAUAAAUUCCGAAUAUUUUCGCGAAAAUAUUUUGGAGAGUGUAUAAAAACCUUGGGCACGCAAACAUUUUGGCCGCAGACCUUGGACAUUCCAACAGGACUCAGCACCAUCGCACUCAGCAUGCGCCAUCCAAGAAUGGUUACAAAAUGAGAUUCAUCGCUUCAUUUCCAGCGCACAAUGGCCACCAAAAUCUCCGGAUACCAAUCCGUUGUACUAUUUUGUCUGGAGUAUUGUGAAAAGUAAGUUUGCCACUAAAAUAUACCAAAGUGUCGAUAACCUCUAGCGAGCGCUUCGCCGAGUGUUCAUAUGAACAGAAAUAGUGUAAUCUUACUAUAUGGAUUGCUAUUGAUUUCGAAUAAUAUAGAAUCUUGUAUGUUUAUGACAAAUGUUUAUGUUCAGCGAUAAGAUGUGUUUAUAGGAAAAGAGUUUAUGUUUAUGUGUAAUGAUAAGUGCUUGAGUAAUAUAUGACCAAACGCUAAUGCAUUGUAAAGUAUGAAAAAAUUCGAAAGGAAAUAAAAUCUUUUUGCUGAUAAUAAAGAAUUUGAAAAUUACCACACACAAAGAUAGCAAUGCAGUCAUUGAUAGCAUAAAGAAAUACCACCUCCUGCGUUGGGACAAAACAACCCCUGUUUGCAUUGAUGAUAUGCAUUAUUAGAACUGACUGUUAGAUUAGUGCAAGAUAAAAAAUUGUGAAAUAAAAUCAGAAUCGAAACAUCCGAACGUAAAGGUUGUUCUUUCCUUCCCAACUAAACAUUGGUCCUUCGAUAAUAAGAACCAGCGGCCGUAUAACAAAGAC